GACGAACGCUGGCGGCGUGCCUAACACAUGCAAGUGGAGCGACGAACCGGACUUCGGUCCGGGGCAAAGCCGCGAACGGGUGAGUAACACGUGGGUAACCUGCCCCGAUGAUUGGGACAACCCGACGGGAAACUACGGGCUAAUACCGAAUGUGCCCUACGGUCGCAAGACCGCUGGGGAAAGGAAGCUUCGGCCUCCGCAUCGGGAUGGGCCCGCGGCCCAUUAGCUUGUUGGUGAGGUAAAGGCUCACCAAGGCCACGAUGGGUAGCUGGUC
This 274-nucleotide ribosomal RNA is filed under the name uncultured bacterium. RNAcentral describes it as "partial 16S ribosomal RNA". It matches the Rfam family "Bacterial small subunit ribosomal RNA", at positions 28 to 292 of the family's 1533-position model. The record is from RNAcentral.